This 73-nucleotide transfer RNA is filed under the name Planctomycetota bacterium. Its description in RNAcentral is "Planctomycetes bacterium (activated sludge metagenome) tRNA-Glu". It matches the Rfam family "tRNA". Rfam says of the family: Transfer RNA (tRNA) molecules are approximately 80 nucleotides in length. Lineage: Bacteria; Pseudomonadati; Planctomycetota. The record is from RNAcentral.
GGCUCGUUCGUCUACCGGUCCAGGACGCUGCCCCUUCAAGGCGGAGGACGGGGUUCGAGUCCCCGACGAGCUG